AACGCACCUUGCACCCUUUGGUAUUCCGAGGGGUAUGCCUGUUUGAGUGUCAUUAAAUUCUCAAACUCAAUGUGGUUUUUAUUAAUCGUGUUGAGGAUUGGAUGUGGAGGUUGCAGGCUCUAACGAGUCGGCUCUUCUUAAAUGCAUUAGUGGCUUGUCGAUCCCCAUUUUUCGGUGUGAUAGUAAUAUCUACAUCAUGAUAAAUGGCUAGGUCAUGCGAUGACAAUAUUUAGCUGCUCUCUAAUAGUCUUUAUGACAAUUUGAACCAUUUGACCUCAAAUCAGGUAGGACUACCCGCUGAACUUAA
RNAcentral lists this unclassified non-coding RNA (307 nucleotides) under uncultured fungus. RNAcentral describes it as "partial contains 5.8S ribosomal RNA, internal transcribed spacer 2, and large subunit ribosomal RNA". The stretch from base 1 to 52 matches the Rfam family "5.8S ribosomal RNA", at positions 103 to 154 of the family's 154-position model. The record is from RNAcentral. Lineage: Eukaryota; Fungi.